GUUUAAACUUUAAAGGAUUAAGACAAUAUCCCAUUAAAAGCGUAGCUUGGUGCAAAUUAUAGAGUGAAUACAUAUAAAAGUAACAGAUUUAUAUUAAUUAAAACCUACACAGCUUAGAUUAGUGUGUUUAAUAGCGUGGAAAGGCUGGCAUAUUUCAAUUAAUGUGCGAAUCACAUAAAAUUUAAUUGGAUUUUAAAUCGGAUAUCAAUUUAGCAAGAGAGCAAGGGAGAAGAGAGCGGCUCACGCAUAAUUUAUAAAAAAAACUUUAAAAACCUUUUGAACAAUGGAAAAUACUCCCACUACGUCAACAAAAGCGCAGACCGAACAAGACAUGAUCCAAAUUCAUUGCGGAAAAUAUGGCCCCUUUAUUAUAUCUUAUUAUAAUUAAAGAGGGCCAGGUCAACCUUUUAGACGAGUACCACUUGCCGAAGCUGGAUCAUAAAGGGUUUCGUGACGCAACCUUGAAAGUGUUGGCGUUGGCGGCGGUGGGGAUAGAUGGCUUCAAAUUUAGAUACGUCUAUCUAAAAGUGGUUGAAGUGGGCACUCAAAUUUUAGGCGCCGCUCAAAUACAAUUCGCCAUCGAUAUGGUGUAUGAAAAAAUAAAGAGCCUCGGCUAUGAAGAAAAAUUAGUGGGUAUUGUGGCCGAUGGAUGCCCGGCCAACCCACGGCAUGAAGUGCGCGGCAUACCGGGCAUACCUUUCAUAUGGGAUGCCCAGCAUCGUCGGUCCAUAAAGUCAAAACAUUCAAGAGACGAUGCUAAAAUUCAAGAACUACAUAACAUGGAAUUCAUAAUGGAAAAUGUUCAGAAAAUUUUCACUAGCCUUGGCAGCUUUGGAGACCAAAACGAUAAAUUUUAUAUCGAAAGCCUAAGGGCGACUGUUGAAAAGCGCUUAUAUAUUCAAAGAAACCCAUUAAGUUGGAUAGCUUUACCAAAGAUAAGUUAGAAUACUUGGGAAAAAAAGCUAACAUUGAAUAUAAAAAUGUAUUAAGCUAUGCACUGCUGCUCCCAAGUUUUAAUGAUUCAAUUUGCAAAGACAAAUGAAAUUACAUUGCAAAAAUGUAUGCUGCGAUCCUUCUGAUCCUGACUCCGCGCUACGACAGAGUCCAUCGCUAA
Long non-coding RNA from Drosophila obscura, 1114 nucleotides. RefSeq lists it as uncharacterized. The record is from RefSeq and is a predicted model, not a curated record. Lineage: Eukaryota; Metazoa; Arthropoda; Insecta; Diptera; Drosophilidae. The transcript is spliced from 5 exons.